NNNCGGCUCCGGAACCAGCUGCAGGCUGCUGGCGGCGCGCGAGUGAGAGAGGAAACCAGACUUGAGAGUCCAUCGAAAGAGGAUGCUCCUUCCGUGUAUGGGUAGGAACAGCUGUAAACUUCGCCUUUCCUGAUUCUUAUAACUUGCACCUUUAGCUUUUUAUAGAAAGAAGCUUUAUCUUUCUCUCAAAAAGCACGCGGGCAAGUACACAUUGAGAUGCUAUUAGAACCGCUAAGAAGUGGUUAAGUUAUGUACAUGAUGUUAACUUACAUUUCUAGUUGGUGUGAAAGGGAUAGAAUUGUCUAAUUUC
Molecule: long non-coding RNA, 310 nt
Filed under: Mustela putorius furo (domestic ferret)
Lineage: Eukaryota; Metazoa; Chordata; Mammalia; Carnivora; Mustelidae
Description: lncRNA (ENSMPUG00000031715.1)
Source: RNAcentral